RNAcentral lists this ribosomal RNA (274 nucleotides) under uncultured bacterium. RNAcentral describes it as "partial 16S ribosomal RNA". It matches the Rfam family "Bacterial small subunit ribosomal RNA", at positions 523 to 796 of the family's 1533-position model. The record is from RNAcentral.
AUACGGAGGGUGCAAGCGUUGUUCGGAAUUACUGGGCGUAAAGCGCGCGUAGGCGGUCUGUUAUGUCAGAUGUGAAAGUCCUCGGCUCAACCGGGGAAGUGCAUUUGAAACUGGCAGACUCGAGUACUGGAGGGGGUGGUGGAAUUCCCGGUGUAGAGGUGAAAUUCGUAGAUAUCGGGAGGAAUACCGGUGGCGAAGGCGACCACCUGGCCAGAUACUGACGCUGAGGUGCGAAAGCGUGGGGAGCAAACAGGAUUAGAAACCCGAGUAGUCC